Molecule: ribosomal RNA, 908 nt
Filed under: Saccharomycetales sp. LM233
Lineage: Eukaryota; Fungi; Ascomycota; Saccharomycetes; Saccharomycetales
Description: bacterial SSU rRNA
Rfam family: Eukaryotic small subunit ribosomal RNA (bases 1-350)
Source: RNAcentral
UGGGCCGCACGCGCGCUACACUGACGGAGCCAACGAGUACUAUCCUUGGCCGAGAGGUCCGGGUAAUCUUGUUAAACUCCGUCGUGCUGGGGAUAGAGCAUUGCAAUUAUUGCUCUUCAACGAGGAAUUCCUAGUAAGCGCAAGUCAUCAGCUUGCGUUGAUUACGUCCCUGCCCUUUGUACACACCGCCCGUCGCUAGUACCGAUUGAAUGGCUUAGUGAGGCUUCCGGAUUGGUUUAGAGAAGGGGGCAACUCCAUCUCGGAACUGAAAAGCUAGUCAAACUUGGUCAUUUAGAGGAACUAAAAGUCGUAACAAGGUUUCCGUAGGUGAACCUGCGGAAGGAUCAUUACAGAAUCUCUUCUAAAGUUUUGUUAUGAGUAAUUAUUCUAGCGCUGCUGAAAUAUUGCGUGCGCGGUUGGUUGCUUGUGAUAAUUCUUUGGGAAAACUCUAUACACUUUGUUUUCUUAUUAGAGACAAACUUGCUUUGGUCAGAUGUGCGUAAAACCACGACUGAUCAGAGAUUAAAUAAAACUCAUUUUUGUUUUCGGGCAAAAAACGUGUAUUAUUCAUAGUCAAAACUUGAAGCUAUUCUUUAUUGAAUUGCUGAACUAAACUUAAAACUUUCAACAACGGAUCUCUUGGUUCUCGCAUCGAUGAAGAACGCAGCGAAGUGCGAUAAGUAAUGUGAAUUGCAGAUUUUCGUGAAUCAUCGAAUCUUUGAACGCAUAUUGCGCCCUCUGGUAUUCCGGAGGGCAUGCCUGUUUGAACCGUCAUUUCCUUCUCAUAUCCCUAGGAAGGGGGGGAUGAGCGAUACUUUUCCUAAAAAAGUUCGUUUGAAAUGAAAUUGGCACGAGUCUUUCACAAAUGGAGCUAUGUUUUCAAGGAUAGGUUUCCCCCCCCUGAUGGA